ACGGUUCGGCCGGGAACUUUAAGGGGACUGCCGGUGAUAAACCGGAGGAAGGUGGGGACGUCGUCAAGUCAUCAUGGCCUUUAUGUCCAGGGCUACACACGUGCUACAAUGGGCGGUACAAAGGGCUGCGAGACCGCAAGGUGGAGCCAAUCCCAAAAAGCCGCCCUCAGUUCGGAUUGCACUCUGCAACUCGAGUGCAUGAAGGUGGAAUCGCUAGUAAUCGCGGAUCAGCAUGCCGCGGUGAAUACGUUCCCGGGCCUUGUACACACCGCCCGUCACAUCACGAAAGUCAGUUGCUCUUGAAGUCGCUGCGCUAACCGCAAGGAGGCAGGCGCCUACGGAGUGGCUGGUGAUUGGGGUGAAGUCGUAACAAGGUAACCGUA
This 383-nucleotide ribosomal RNA is filed under the name uncultured bacterium. RNAcentral describes it as "bacterial SSU rRNA". It matches the Rfam family "Bacterial small subunit ribosomal RNA", at positions 1121 to 1504 of the family's 1533-position model. The record is from RNAcentral.